Molecule: ribosomal RNA, 433 nt
Filed under: uncultured bacterium
Lineage: Bacteria
Description: partial 16S ribosomal RNA
Rfam family: Bacterial small subunit ribosomal RNA
Source: RNAcentral
AACGAACGCUGGCGGCAUGCCUAACACAUGCAAGUCGAACGAGACCUUCGGGUCUAGUGGCGCACGGGUGCGUAACGCGUUGGAACCUGCCCUUAGGUUCGGAAUAACUCCCCGAAAGGGGUUCUAAUACCGGAUAAUGUCUUCGGACCAAAGAUUUAUCGCCUUUGGAUGGGCCCGCGUUGUAUUAGCUAGUUGGUAGGGUAAAAGCCUACCAAGGCGACGAUCCAUAGCUGGUCUGAGAGGAUGAUCAGCCACACUGGGACUGAGACACGGCCCAGACUCCUACGGGAGGCAGAAGUGGGGAAUAUUGGACAAUGGGCGAAAGCCUGAUCCAGCAAUGACGCGUGAGUGAUGAAGGCCUUAGGGUUGUAAAGCUCUUUUACCCGGGAUGAUAAUGACAGUACCGGGAGAAUAAGCUCCGGCUAACUCCGUG